GACGAACGCUGGCGGCGUGCUUAACACAUGCCAGUCGAACGGAAAGGCCCUGCUUUUGUGGGGUGCUCGAGUGGCGAACGGGUGAGUAACACGUGAGUAACCUGCCCUUGACUUGGGAUAACUUCAGGAAACUGGGGCUAAUACCGGAUAUGAGCUCCUGCUGCAUGGUGGGGGUUGGAAAGGUUCGGCGGGUGGGGAUGGGCUCGCGGCUGAUCAGCUUGGUGGUGGGGUCGUGGAUUACCAAGGCUUUGACGGGUAGCCGGCCUGAGAGGGUGACCGGCCACAGUGGGACUGAGAUACGGCCCAGACUCCUACGGGAGGCAGCAGUGGGGAAUAUUGCACAAUGGGCGGAAGCCUGAUGCAGCAACGCCGCGUGCGGGAUGACGGCCUUCGGGUUGUAAACCGCUUUCGCCUGUGACGAAGCGUGAGUGACGGUACUGGGUAAAGAAGCACCGGCUAACUACGUG
Molecule: ribosomal RNA, 467 nt
Filed under: uncultured bacterium
Lineage: Bacteria
Description: partial 16S ribosomal RNA
Rfam family: Bacterial small subunit ribosomal RNA
Source: RNAcentral